This 440-nucleotide ribosomal RNA is filed under the name uncultured bacterium. RNAcentral describes it as "partial 16S ribosomal RNA". It matches the Rfam family "Bacterial small subunit ribosomal RNA", at positions 338 to 795 of the family's 1533-position model. The record is from RNAcentral.
CCUACGGGGGGCAGCAGUGGGGAAUAUUGCACAAUGGGGGAAACCCUGAUGCAGCGACGCCGCGUGAGUGAAGAAGUAUUUCGGUACGUAAAGCUCUAUCAGCCGGGAAGAAAAUGACGGUACCUGACUCAGAAGCCCCGGCUAAAUACGAGCCAGCAGCCGCGGUAAAACGGAGGGGGCAAGCGUUAUCCGGUUUUACUGGGUGUAAAGGGAGCGUAGACGGCAGCGUAAGUCUGGAGUGAAAUCCCAUGGCUUAACCAUGGAACUGCUUUGGAAACUGGGCAGCUGGAGUGCAGGAGAGGUAAGCGGAAUGCGUAGUGUAGCGGUGAAAUGCGUAGAUAUUAGGAAGAACCCCAGUGGCGAAGGCAGCUUACUGGACUGUAACUGACGUUGAGGCUCGAAAGCGUGGGGAGCAAACAGGAUUAGAUACCCCAGUAGUC